UUUAGUUUUUGUGGGCGUUUGGUGGAUGCCUUGGUGCCUAGAGCUGAUGAAGGACGUUGUGGCCUGCGAUAUUCCCUGGGGAGUUGGCGAGCGAGCGUUGAUCCGGGGGUUUCCGAAUGGGGUAACCUGACAGGUUUUGUGGCCUGUUACCACUGCUUGAAUGUAUAGGGUGGUGGGGGGAACGUGGGGAAGUGAAACAUCUUAGUACCUGCAGGAAGAGAUAUUCUGUGAGUAGUGGCGAGCGAAAGCGGAUGAUGGCUAAACUGUGUGCGUGUCAAGGCGGCAGCUGUUGCGCAUGUGGGGUUGUUGGGGCGUGUUUUUCCAUUCUCUGCCGGGGGUGGGGGUAGUUAUAAAUGGUUGUGUGGAGCUGAACAGUUUGGGAUGGCUGACCGUAGGGCGUGAUAGUCGUGUAGGUGGUUCAUGCAACUCUGCCUGAGUGUGUUCCCAAGUAGCAGCGGGCUCGUGGAAUCUGCUGUGAAUCUGCCCAGACCACUGGGUAAGCCUGAAUACUUCUAGGUGACCGAUAGUGUAGUAGUACCGUGAGGGAAUGGUGAAAAGUACCCCGGGAGGGGAGUGAAAUAGUGCCUGAAACCAAGCGCUUUUAAGCCGUCAGAGCCGGUCGGCCCCUUUUUUGGGGUUGUGGUGAUGGCGUGCCUAUUGAAAAAUGAGCCUGCGAGUUAGUGAUGCGUGGCGAGGUUAACCCUUUGUGGGGUAGUCGUAGCGAAAGCGAGUCUUAAUUGGGCGCCCAGUCGCGUGUUCUAGACCCGAAGCGGGGUGAUCUACCCAUGGCCAGGUUGAAGCGAUUGUAAAAGGUCGUGGAGGACCGUACCCACCUAGGUUGAAAACUGGGGGGAUGAGUUGUGGGUAGGGGUGAAAGGCUAAUCAAACUCCGUGAUAGCUGGUUCUCCCCGAAAUGCAUUUAGGUGCAGCGUUCUGCGUGUGUUGUUGUGGUGGUAGAGCUACUGGUUGGUUGAUGGGCCGUUUUGGUUACUGACGUCAGCUAAACUCCGAAUGCCAUUGAUAAUUGCAGGGCAGUGAGACUGCGGGGGAUAAGCUUCGUAGUCGAGAGGGAAACAGCCCAGAUCAUCGGUUAAGGCCCCUAAGGGUGUGCUGAGUGGGAAAGGAUGUGGAGUUGCAUAGACAACCAGGAGGUUGGCUUAGAAGCAGCCAUCCUUGAAAGAGUGCGUAAUAGCUCACUGGUCAAGUGAUUCCGCGCCGACAAUGUAGCGGGGCUUAAGCACACCGCCGAAACCGUGGCAUGAAACUUUUUGUUUUUUGGGUAGGGGAGCGUCCUGACUGGGGUGAAGCAGGCCUGUGAGGGUUUGUGGACUGGUUGGGAGUGAGAAUGCAGGCAUGAGUAGCGAGUGGUGGGUGAGAAUCCCACGCGCCGAUUGACUAAGGGUUCCAGGGCAAGGUUUAUCCGCCCUGGGUUAGUCGGGUCCUAAGGCGAGGCCGACAGGCGUAGUCGAUGGAUGACCAGUUGAUAUUCUGGUACCGGUUUUUUCUUGUCCAGUGCUGACAAAGUUGUGCUAACCAACGCCGUGAUGGUGGUGAUUCCUUCGGGUUUUACCACCUAGUGGUCUUGGGGUCCCUUCUUGGGUAGGCAAGCGUGUUAACAGGGGUGACGCAGUAGGGUAGCUGAUGCUGGCCGGUGGUUGUGCCAGUCUAAGGUUGUGGCCCGCAUGCUAGGUAAAUCCGGUGUGCUGUCUUUAAUGAUAAGGGUGAGGGCUGAUGGGACUGCCACUUAUAGUGGUGGUUAUUGGUGUGCCUGUGCUGUCUAGAAAAGCCUCGACGUUAGAGGAAAACCGCCCGUACCCUAAACCGACUCAGGUAGUUAGGUAGAGUAUACUAAGGCGUGCGAGUGAAUCAUGGUUAAGGAACUCGGCAAAAUGCCCCCGUAACUUCGGGAUAAGGGGGACCAGGCCCGGACAAGUACUGUUUUUCUGGUUUUUGUUUGGGUGUGGUCGCAGUGAUUUGGAAGAAGCGACUGUUUACUAAAAACAUAGGUGUGUGCGAAGCUGUAAGGCGAUGUAUACGCACUGACGCCUGCCCGGUGCUGGAAGGUUAAGCGGAAGGCUCAACCCCCUUGUGGGGUGAAGGUUUGAAGUUAAGCCCCAGUAAACGGCGGUGGUAACUAUAACCAUCCUAAGGUAGCGAAAUUCCUUGUCGGGUAAGUU
Molecule: ribosomal RNA, 2177 nt
Filed under: human gut metagenome
Description: bacterial LSU rRNA
Rfam family: Bacterial large subunit ribosomal RNA
Source: RNAcentral